GAUGAAGAACGUAGCGAAAUGCGAUAAGUAAUGCGAAUUGCAGAAUUCAGUGAAUCAUCGAAUCUUUGAACGCACAUUGCGCCCGCCAGUAUUCUGGCGGGCAUGCCUGUUCGAGCGUCAUUACAACCCUCAGGCCCCCGGGCCUGGCGUUGGGGAUCGGCGGAGCCCCCCGUGGGCACACGCCGUCCCCCAAAUACAGUGGCGGUCCCGCCGCAGCUUCCAUCGCGUAGUAGCUAACACCUCGCGACUGGAGAGCGGCGCGGCCACGCCGUAAAACACCCAACUCUUCUGAAGUUGACCUAGAAUCAGGUAGGAAUACCCGCUGAACUUAAGCAUAUCAAUAAGCGGAGGA
This 352-nucleotide unclassified non-coding RNA is filed under the name soil metagenome. RNAcentral describes it as "partial contains 5.8S ribosomal RNA, internal transcribed spacer 2, and large subunit ribosomal RNA". The stretch from base 1 to 120 matches the Rfam family "5.8S ribosomal RNA", at positions 35 to 154 of the family's 154-position model. The record is from RNAcentral.